UUUGGCAAUGGUAGAACUCACACGG
Molecule: microRNA, 25 nt
Filed under: Eptatretus burgeri (inshore hagfish)
Lineage: Eukaryota; Metazoa; Chordata; Myxini; Myxiniformes; Myxinidae
Also listed under: 4 other names
Description: Ebu-Mir-96-P2e_5p (mature (guide))
Source: RNAcentral